GAUGAACGCUGGCGGCAUGCCUAAUACAUGCAAGUCGAACGAAUAUGUAGCAAUACAUGUUGGUGGCGAACGGGUGAGUAACGCGUUGGUGACCUGCCCCGAAGUGUGGGAUAACAGUUCGAAAGAAAUGCUAAUACCGCAUGUGGUCCCCGGGUUUAGAAACCGGUGACUAAAGGGGUAAUUCGCUUCGGGAUGGACCUGCGUCCCAGCAGCUAGUUGGUAGGGUACCGGCCUACCAAGGCAUUGACGGGUAAGGGACCUGAGAGGGUGGCCCCUAACAAUGGCACUGAAACACGGGCCGUACACCUACGGGUGGCAGGAGUAGUGAAUGUUGGGCAAUGGGCGAAAGCCUGACCCAGCAACGCCGCGUGUGUGACGAAGGUCUUCGGAUCGUAAAACACUUUUCUGGGAGAUGAGAAAGGACAGUAUCCCAGGAAUAAGCCUCGGCUAACUACGUGCCAGCAGCCGCGGUAA
RNAcentral lists this ribosomal RNA (474 nucleotides) under uncultured bacterium. RNAcentral's name for it is "partial 16S ribosomal RNA". It matches the Rfam family "Bacterial small subunit ribosomal RNA", at positions 28 to 523 of the family's 1533-position model. The record is from RNAcentral.